AUGUAUGCCGACGGCGAGCAGAGACCGGUGCCGCCGCUGCCAGCUGCCGUGGCCGACAAGAUCUUUGAUCUGAUGAGGCUGUUCUCCGUUGAUCCAUCCGAGAUGUUCUGGUCUGAUGUUAUUGAGCAUGUUGCCGACGAUGCUCAUGCUCUUGAGAUUGGGCAUGCAAACAACAACCGCUGCUACCUGGUACAAUCCCUGGGAGAAGUGUUCAUCGUCUUCAAGCUGCAGCAUGGCAUGCAGGUUUUCAGGAUGGACGACUCUAACCGGGGUGUACUCGAGCCUGUGAAGAGCAUCGGUCACCACGCCAUCUUCGUCGGCUGCUGCAGGUGCCUGGCUGUUGAUGCCGAUAAGUUCCCAUCUGUUGAGGCCAAUUGCAUCUACCACCUAGACGGGACAGAAGAGAUGGUCUCUGAAGCCAUAAGUUGGUCAGAUCCCAUCACACGGAGGGAUGCUGACUCUCCUUUCACAGCCGUUCAGCUCCUCUCCAGCUACACCAUCAACGUCCGGGGUUCUGAACUUGUGAUUCCGGAAACGUGUCGAGUAGAUAUUGAUCAGUUAGUGGAGGAGUUCUUCUCAACUGAGGAUAAGGAAUUCUUCGCAAUGUUUCCUCUGCAGUUAGGUUAA
RNAcentral lists this ribosomal RNA (627 nucleotides) under Triticum aestivum (bread wheat). RNAcentral describes it as "partial small subunit ribosomal RNA". Lineage: Eukaryota; Viridiplantae; Streptophyta; Magnoliopsida; Poales; Poaceae. The record is from RNAcentral.